RNAcentral lists this ribosomal RNA (882 nucleotides) under Lactiplantibacillus plantarum. RNAcentral describes it as "bacterial SSU rRNA". It matches the Rfam family "Bacterial small subunit ribosomal RNA", at positions 22 to 867 of the family's 1533-position model. Lineage: Bacteria; Bacillati; Bacillota; Bacilli; Lactobacillales; Lactobacillaceae. The record is from RNAcentral.
UCUCACAGACGAACGCUGGCGGCGUGCCUAAUACAUGCAAGUCGAACGAACUCUGGUAUUGAUUGGUGCUUGCAUCAUGAUUUACAUUUGAGUGAGUGGCGAACUGGUGAGUAACACGUGGGAAACCUGCCCAGAAGCGGGGGAUAACACCUGGAAACAGAUGCUAAUACCGCAUAACAACUUGGACCGCAUGGUCCGAGCUUGAAAGAUGGCUUCGGCUAUCACUUUUGGAUGGUCCCGCGGCGUAUUAGCUAGAUGGUGGGGUAACGGCUCACCAUGGCAAUGAUACGUAGCCGACCUGAGAGGGUAAUCGGCCACAUUGGGACUGAGACACGGCCCAAACUCCUACGGGAGGCAGCAGUAGGGAAUCUUCCACAAUGGACGAAAGUCUGAUGGAGCAACGCCGCGUGAGUGAAGAAGGGUUUCGGCUCGUAAAACUCUGUUGUUAAAGAAGAACAUAUCUGAGAGUAACUGUUCAGGUAUUGACGGUAUUUAACCAGAAAGCCACGGCUAACUACGUGCCAGCAGCCGCGGUAAUACGUAGGUGGCAAGCGUUGUCCGGAUUUAUUGGGCGUAAAGCGAGCGCAGGCGGUUUUUUAAGUCUGAUGUGAAAGCCUUCGGCUCAACCGAAGAAGUGCAUCGGAAACUGGGAAACUUGAGUGCAGAAGAGGACAGUGGAACUCCAUGUGUAGCGGUGAAAUGCGUAGAUAUAUGGAAGAACACCAGUGGCGAAGGCGGCUGUCUGGUCUGUAACUGACGCUGAGGCUCGAAAGUAUGGGUAGCAAACAGGAUUAGAUACCCUGGUAGUCCAUACCGUAAACGAUGAAUGCUAAGUGUUGGAGGGUUUCCGCCCUUCAGUGCUGCAGCUAACGCAUUAAGCAU